Molecule: ribosomal RNA, 92 nt
Filed under: Escherichia coli
Lineage: Bacteria; Pseudomonadati; Pseudomonadota; Gammaproteobacteria; Enterobacterales; Enterobacteriaceae
Description: partial 16S ribosomal RNA
Rfam family: Bacterial small subunit ribosomal RNA
Source: RNAcentral
AAAUUGAAGAGUUUGAUCAUGGCUCAGAUUGAACGCUGGCGGCAGGCCUAACACAUGCAAGUCGAACGGUAACAGGAAGGAGCUUGCUUCUU